Molecule: long non-coding RNA, 1854 nt
Organism: Mobula hypostoma (lesser devil ray)
Lineage: Eukaryota; Metazoa; Chordata; Chondrichthyes; Myliobatiformes; Myliobatidae
Exons: 4
Source: RefSeq, a predicted model, not a curated record
UCGUGCAUGCAGCCUGGUGCAGCCGUUCCGAUCGAUUCUUACUUUCUUCUUCUUACUUUUUAAUUGACGUUAUUUUUUGUAUUUUUUUCUCACGGUAACACGUCGAAGUUGCACCCUCUCUAACAUGCUGCUUGAGAGAGUUGUAUUUGGAUUAUCUUUAGCGCUGGAAAUGGUUACAUCCCGACACGCGGAAUAGAAGCAAGGCCGCAUUGUGUAUUCCACGGACCAGCAAAGACCGGCCGGCUUAGCGAACAGAGCGGUGGACACCCCUGCUGAAAUCCGGAGGAAAACACACAGAGGGGGAUCACAAAGCCGAGGAAAGAGGACCGGGUCGAGACAACAGAGUCUUUUGGAGAAGAGGAGUUCGGUGGGUAAUACCGUUCCGGCUGACCGGAAGUGCACUGAGAGCGAUCCAGAGGACUACAAUAGCAUCCUGAUUGUUCGAUGCGCAUUGGGCGGACUGGCAAUUGUAAUGCUGAUUACAAUUUUGAUAAGAAUCGGAGUUAAGUCAAAACGUGGUAAGAUCAUGAAUGGUUUGACAAGUAUUUCCAUUUAUUACCUCUGCAGAAAGAAGGGGGAAAUGAUAAUGUGAGAAUCAAGAUUUUCAAGGCAUUAUCGGAUACUAUCCGAUAAUCCACAAUCGACAAUACUAAUCAGAAAUAACAGGAUUUUUUUUUAGAUUAUGAGAACACUCAGUCCUCUUUGAUUGUCAUUUAGAAAUGCAUGUAUGCAUUAAGAAAUGAUACAACGUUUCUCCGGAGUGAUGUCACAGAAAACAAGACAGAUCAAAGACUAACACUGACAGAACCACAUAAUUAUAACAUACAGUUACAGCAGUGCAAAGCAAUACCAUAUUUUGAUAAAGAACAGACCAUAGGCACAAUAAAGAAAAGUAUCGAAGUCCCCAGUAGAUCGACUCCCGAGUCCCCGAUAGCAGGCGGCGACAGGGAGAAACUCUCUGCCAUAAAUCUCCAGGCGCCGUCAACUUGCCGAUACCUUGGAAGCAGCCAACCCCAGCCGACCCUGAGUCCAUCCGUCCGAAAACUCCGAGCUUCCGAGCAGCCUCUCCGAUACAGCUUCCGGAGAGCCAUCCUCCGAUACAGCUUCCGGAGAGCCAUCCUCUGCCGAGCGCCUUCGACCUUUCCCCGGCCGCUGAAACACGCAAAACCGAGGAUUUCGGGGCCUUCAGCUCCGGAGCUUCCGCUUACCACACAGUAGCAGCGGUAGCAAAGCAUGCAUUUCAGAAGUUUUCCAGAUGUUCCGCUGUGCUCUCACGUCUGUCUCCAACAAAUCAGGAUUAUGCAUGGUCCCCUACUUGACAGAUACAGUAAUAGAUAUUCAUCACCGAAGUGGCCGCGCGAGCUGUCAUCGCGCCGCCAUCUUCUCCCCCCGCCCGGGAGGUAUUUUAUAUUCCCGUUCAAGUUAUCGAAUCAUCCCUUGUACCUACGAUUUUCAGACACCUGGAGUUUUCAGGCUGUGACUUCCUGCGGCGAUUAUACGCAAGCUGGAUUCGUGGCAGUUGAACAUAACCUUCCCUAUGCUGCACCAAACGCGAGAGAAAACAAAGUUAUUCACCAGGUCAGGCGCCAGGAGGAACAUGUUGUCUAGGCAAAGACUCGACGUGGCUGAGGUGAAAUGUUGACAGUGUCCGCUCUGCACCAUCGGCAUUUAAGCAGAGCAACAAGGAUUCAGUGUAGGCAGAUGUCAAGCUUUCACAAUAAGGGAGAAGCUGAAAAUCUGAAGGAAUGCAUGGCCAACGGAUUGUUUCCCCUUAUGUGCUGCCGGGGAGACUAAGUAGCGGCGGCUGAAAUAAUACUGAAAGUUAAGAAUAAGAAAAGUGGACAUUGUGAUAAA